AUGUACGCAGUCAUUGAAAUGUUUAAUGAAAAGAAGGAAUAUGAAUGCAGUGUUUCAACAUCUAAGAAGCUGCCGCAAAGACGAAGGGGUCACCCUAUUCUCCAAAGGUCACUUUCUGAGGUGCAACUUGUGUCAUCGGGGCCAGGAACUGUAAGACCAGGGCAAAAUCUCAACUUGGUCUGUAAAGUUACUGGUGUCUCCAUCACGAGUAGUAGCUAUCGUUGGCACUGGGUCCGUCAGCCUCCAGGGAAAGGCUUAGAAUGGAUUGGUAGAAUCUACGUCUAUGAUGGCAGCAAACGGUACUCACCUUCUCUUCAAAGCCGCACCACCAUUGCUUCAGACAACUCCAAGAAUGAAUAUUCCCUUCAGUUGAACUCCAUGUCAGCUUCUGACACUGCCGUGUAUUAUUGUGCCAGUGAUACACACUGA
Molecule: non-coding RNA, 429 nt
Organism: Pantherophis guttatus
Lineage: Eukaryota; Metazoa; Chordata; Lepidosauria; Squamata; Colubridae
Source: the annotation of a RefSeq genome assembly